This 446-nucleotide ribosomal RNA is filed under the name uncultured bacterium. RNAcentral's name for it is "partial 16S ribosomal RNA". It matches the Rfam family "Bacterial small subunit ribosomal RNA", at positions 338 to 795 of the family's 1533-position model. The record is from RNAcentral.
CCUACGGGUGACAGCAGUCGAGAAUCAUUCACAAUGGGGGAAACCCUGAUGCUGCGACGCCGCGUGGGGGAAUGAAGGUCUUCGGUUUGUAAACCCCUGUCAUGUGGGAGCAAAUUAAAAAGAUAGUACCACAAGAGGAAGAGACGGCUAACUCUGUGCCAGCAGCCGCGGUAAUACAGAGGUCUCAAGCGUUGUUCGGAAUCACUGGGCGUAAAGCGUGCGUAGGCUGUUUCGUAAGUCGUGUGUGAAUGGCGCGGGCUCAACCCGCGGACGGCACAUGAUACUGCGAGACUAGAGUAAUGGAGGGGGAACCGGAAUUCUCGGUGUAGCAGUGAAAUGCGUAGAGAUCGAGAGGAACACUCGUGGCGAAGGCGGGUUCCUGGACAUUAACUGACGCUGAGGCACGAAGGCGAGGGGAGCGAAAGGGAUUAGAUACCCGUGUAGUC